GACGAACGCUGGCGGCGUGCUUAACACAUGCAAGUCGAACGGAAAGGCCCUGCUUUUGUUGGGUGCUCGAGUGGCGAACGGGUGAGUAACACGUGAGUAACCGUCCCUUGACUUUGUGAUAACUUCAGGAAACUGGGGCUAAUACCGGAUAGGAGCUCCUGCUGUAUGGUGUUGGUUGGAAAUUUUCGGCUGUUGGGGAUGGACUCGCGGGUUAUCAGCUUGUUGGUGGGGUAGUUGCUUCCCAAGGCUUUGACGGGUAGCCGGCCUGAGAGGGUGACCGGCCACCUUGGGACUGAGGUAGGGCCCAGACUGCUACGGGCGGCAGCAGUGGGGAAUCUUGCAGAAUGGGGGCAAGCCUGAUGCAGAAACGCCGCGUGCGGAAUGACGGGCUUCGGGUUGUAAACCGGUUUCAGAAGGGAAGGAGCUUUUUGUGACGGUACCUGCAGAAGAAGCACCGGCUAACUACGUG
Molecule: ribosomal RNA, 469 nt
Filed under: uncultured bacterium
Lineage: Bacteria
Description: partial 16S ribosomal RNA
Rfam family: Bacterial small subunit ribosomal RNA
Source: RNAcentral